Molecule: non-coding RNA, 3201 nt
Organism: Oncorhynchus mykiss (rainbow trout)
Lineage: Eukaryota; Metazoa; Chordata; Actinopteri; Salmoniformes; Salmonidae
Source: RefSeq, a predicted model, not a curated record
CAGGAGUACCGUCUGCACGAGAUAGACAGACAGGUACGACACAGAUAACACCAUCGAGUACCACCUGCACCAGAUAGACAGACAGGUACGAGACAGAUAACACCAUCGAGUACCGCCUGCACCAGAUAGACAGACAGGUACGAGACAGAUAACACCAUCGAGUACCGCCUGCACCAGAUAGACAGACAGGUACGAGACAGAUAACACCAUCGAGUACCGCCUGCACCAGAUAGACAGACAGGUACGAGACACAGGAGUACCGUCUGCACGAGAUAGACAGACAGGUACGAGACAGAUAACACCAUCGAGUACCGCCUGCACCAGAUAGACAGACAGGUACGACACAGAUAACACCAUCGAGUACCGCCUGCACCAGAUAGACAGACAGGUACGACACACAGGAGUACCGCCUGCACGAGAUAGACAGACAGGUACGAGACAGAUAACACCAUCGAGUACCGCCUGCACGAGAUAGACAGACAGGUACGAGACAGAUAACACCAUCGAGUACCGCCUGCACCAGAUAGACAGACAGGUACGAGACAGAUAACACCAUCGAGUACCGCCUGCACCAGAUAGACAGACAGGUACGACACACAGGAGUACCGCCUGCACGAGAUAGACAGACAGGUACGAGACAGAUAACACCAUCGAGUACCGCCUGCACGAGAUAGACAGACAGGUACGAGACAGAUAACACCAUCGAGUACCGCCUGCACCAGAUAGACAGACAGGUACGAGACAGAUAACACCAUCGAGUACCGCCUGCACCAGAUAGACAGACAGGUACGACACAGAUAACACCAUCGAGUACCGCCUGCACCAGAUAGACAGACAGGUACGAGACAGAUAACACCAUCGAGUACCGCCUGCACCAGAUAGACAGACAGGUACGAGACAGACAACACCAUCGAGUACCGCCUGCACCAGAUAGACAGACAGGUACGAGACAGAUAACACCAUCGAGUACCACCUGCACCAGAUAGACAGACAGGUACGAGACAGAUAACACCAUCGAGUACCGCCUGCACCAGAUAGACAGACAGGUACGAGACAGAUAACACCAUCGAGUACCGCCUGCACCAGAUAGACAGACAGGUACGAGACAGAUAACACCAUCGAGUACCGCCUGCACGAGAUAGACAGACAUGUACGAGACAGAUAACACCAUCGAGUACCGCCUGCACCAGAUAGACAGACAGGUACGAGACAGACAACACCAUCGAGUACCGCCUGCACCAGAUAGACAGACAGGUACGACACACAGGAGUACCGCCUGCACCAGAUAGACAGACAGGUACGACACAGAUAACACCAUCGAGUACCGCCUGCACCAGAUAGACAGACAGGUACGAGACAGAUAACACCAUCGAGUACCGCCUGCACCAGAUAGACAGACAGGUACGAGACAGACAACACCAUCGAGUACCGCCUGCACCAGAUAGACAGACAGGUACGAGACAGAUAACACCAUCGAGUACCACCUGCACCAGAUAGACAGACAGGUACGAGACAGAUAACACCAUCGAGUACCGCCUGCACCAGAUAGACAGACGGGUACGAGAGGCAGCACACCAGAGCGACUGACAGCUGCUGUUGGUCGUCCUAUCGUCUCAUGUUUUGUUAAUUUCCAGUGGAUUCUACAUGACUGACAGCGGCUGUUGGUCGUCCUAUCCCCUCAUGUUUUGUUAAUUUCCCGUGGAUUCUACAUGUCUGACAGCGGCUGUUGGUCGUCCUAUCGUCCUCAUGUUUUGUUAAUUUCCCGUGGAUUCUACAUGUCUGACAGCUGCUGUUGGUCGUCCUAUCGCCUCAUGUUUUGUUAAUUUCCCGUGGAUUCUACAUGUCUGACAGCGGCUGUUGGUCGUCCUAUCCCCUCAUGUUUUGUUAAUUUCCCGUGGAUUCUACAUGUCUGACAGCUGCUGUUGGUCGUCCUAUCGUCCUCAUAUUUUGUUAAUUUCCCGUGGAUUCUACAUGUCUGACAGCGGCUGUUGGUCGUCCUAUCGCCUCAUGUUUUGUUAAUUUCCAGUGGAUUCUACAUGUCUGACAGCAGCUGUUGGUCGUCCUAUCGUCCUCAUGUUUUGUUAAUUUCCCGUGGAUUCUACAUGUCUGACAGCGGCUGUUGGUCGUCCUAUCGCCUCAUGUUUUGUUAAUUUCCCGUGGAUUCUACAUGUCUGACAGCUGCUGUUGGUCGUCCUAUCGCCUCAUGUUUUGUUAAUUUCCCGUGGAUUCUACAUGUCUGACAGCGGCUGUUGGUCGUCCUAUCGUCUCAUGUUUUGUUAAUUUCCCGUGGAUUCUACAUGUCUGACAGCUGCUGUUGGUCGUCCUAUCGCCUCAUGUUUUGUUAAUUUCCCGUGGAUUCUACAUGUCUGACAGCGGCUGUUGGUCGUCCUAUCGUCUCAUGUUUUGUUAAUUUCCCGUGGAUUCUACAUGUCUGACAGCUGCUGUUGGUCGUCCUACCGCCUCAUGUUUUGUUAAUUUCCCGUGGAUUCUACAUGUCUGACAGCUGCUGUUGGUCGUCCUAUCGCCUCAUGUUUUGUUAAUUUCCAGUGGAUUCUACAUGUCUGACAGCUGCUGUUGGUCGUCCUAUCGCCUCAUGUUUUGUUAAUUUCCCGUGGAUUCUACAUGUCUGCCGCAGUUCAUUAACCUCCAGCGGGUGAUGACUAACACACCGUGGCCACCUACUGCUUUUAGACCUUCCUCUUCGUGGUGUCUUCUCUACGAGGCAUUAUCGAGCUCUCUGCACUACACUUAGGCUAUGGCCCCGGGGCUUUUCAUUUCAGACAGAAACUCAGCAGACCUCUCCUCCACUCUGAAACUUGAGAUGUAUAUAUUGAAUUAUUCGAUUAAGACAAGAGGCACUGCGCUCUUUUAUAAUAGAAGCUGAAUUCUGAAUUGGUUUUAAGAUGAAGAAUCAUGCCUGGAAUUUUUCUAAGUAAUCUUAACACCCAGCUUGGUUGGCAUGGGAACAACUAUAUUUAUAAUUGUAGAAACAUCAUGGUUCAGUAUAUAACUAUAACUAGACUGUAUUUAUAAGUAUAAGACUCUAAGGUGUGAGAGUACAGUACAUGUCUCUGUUAGUUAUGUGUUUAACUCUCAACUGGAAACUCUUGUUUCAUAUCUCCCCUCCCCCCGUCUCUCUCCCCUGUCUUUCUCCUUCCCCUAUAUCUCUCUCCCCCUCUCUCUCUCUCUCCCUCCCCUCCC